Non-coding RNA from Mycena capillaripes, 99 nucleotides. The record is from the annotation of a GenBank genome assembly. NCBI's taxonomy places the organism in Eukaryota, Fungi, Basidiomycota, Agaricomycetes, Agaricales, Mycenaceae.
GCCGCCAUUGACCAGAGUGGUCGUCCUCUCAGCAUAAGGUAGUGAUUUUGGACCCAUCCUUUCAAGAGGAAGACGGAGGUUCGACUCCUCCUGGCGGCA